Molecule: long non-coding RNA, 872 nt
Organism: Zophobas morio
Lineage: Eukaryota; Metazoa; Arthropoda; Insecta; Coleoptera; Tenebrionidae
Exons: 2
Source: RefSeq, a predicted model, not a curated record
GUUAACAUUAAAGCGCUUGUAUGUUAAUGAAAACCAGUUUAAGUUUUUAUCUUCACAGUUGUUAUAUCACAAUGAAUUUUAACAUUAGUCAGUUUAAACGCAAUGACGUUGUUUCCACUUAAAAAAAUCGUUCGAUUCUAAAAUUAUUACAAUUUAAAUAUGUAGUAGAAAAAUAGCUUAUUCACUAGACUAACAUCAACAAUUUUGUGUAUGUUGAGUUUUGGACUUAACCUUCUGAUAACAAACAGUGACGUUCGCUACUUUUCGGCAAUGUAUAGUCAAGUACGUCCUCUUUUUGUUAACAUUUUAUUGUUUCCGCCCACAACAAGGCUUGUGUUCAUUUUGUUGUGAAGCGUUUUCAAGUUAUUUAAUGAAGACGUAUAAAACUGUGCCGUUGAUUAAUCACUGUAUACUCGUUUGAUUGUUUUCCAUAUCUAUGUUGUGUUGUUGUAAUAUAACAUAUAACCUUCUAAAAUGAUUCAUCAAAUCGCCGAUUCAGGUUCUUAAAAUAGAAACCGUAAUUUUUAUCGCCCGAUAAGUCUUUUUCGUUAUUAAAAAAAUAUAUUUUGCGAAUAACAUGAAGUAAUGAGGUAAAAGUCUAAUUACCAUAGGACAAUUCAUUGGUGCUUGGCGCUUUGUUAACUUUGACUGACCUUGUGCACAGACUCAUAGUGCCGCAAAAAUGCGACUUUUUCCGGAAUGAUUGAAGUUUGAUUUUUUGAAAAAAUGUGGGACUGUGUAAUGUUUUUUUCCCACCUCAAUGGAAAUUCAUCUUCAUACCAUGAUUACCACAAACAAAGGCAACACCAAGAUGCGUACAGCUAUAUAACGUGUAAUCUGUAGUUUAACUUCAAAUAAAAGAAUAUUUAGUA